RNAcentral lists this ribosomal RNA (178 nucleotides) under uncultured bacterium. Its description in RNAcentral is "partial 16S ribosomal RNA". It matches the Rfam family "Bacterial small subunit ribosomal RNA", at positions 1325 to 1500 of the family's 1533-position model. The record is from RNAcentral.
GCUGGAGUUACUAGUAAUCGCAGAUCAGAAUGCUGCGGUGAAUGCGUUCCCGGGUCUUGUACACACCACCCGUCACACCACGGAAGUUGGGGGCGCCCGAAGCCACUUAGCUAACCCAUUUGGGAAGCGAGUGUCGAAGGUGAAAUCAAUAACUGGGGUGAAGUCGUAACAAGGUACC